RNAcentral lists this ribosomal RNA (484 nucleotides) under uncultured bacterium. RNAcentral describes it as "partial 16S ribosomal RNA". It matches the Rfam family "Bacterial small subunit ribosomal RNA", at positions 30 to 507 of the family's 1533-position model. The record is from RNAcentral.
AUUGAACGCUGGCGGCAGGCCUAACACAUGCAAGUCGAGCGGAUGAAGGGAGCUUUCUCCUGGAUUCAGCGUCGGACGGGUGAGUAAUGCCUAUGAAUCUGCCUGGUAGUGGGGGAUAACGUCCGGAAACGGGCGCUAAUACCGCAUACGUCCUGAGGGUGAAAGUGGGGGAUCUUCGGACCUCACGCUAUCAGAUGAGCCUAGGUCGGAUUAGCUAGUUGGUGGGGUAAAGGCCUACCAAGGCGACGAUCCGUAACUGGUCUGAGAGGAUGAUCAGUCACACUGGAACGGGGACACGGUCCAGACUCCUACGGGAGGCAGCAGUGGGGAAUAUUGGACAAUGGGGGAAAGCCUGAUCCAGCCAUGCCGCGUGUGUGAAGAAGGUCUUCGGAUUGUAAAGCACUUUAAGUUGGGAGGAAGGGCAGUAAGUUAAUACGUUGCUGUUUUGACGUUACCAACAGAAUAAGCACCGGCUAACUUCGUG